Non-coding RNA from Pseudonaja textilis, 1899 nucleotides. The record is from RefSeq and is a predicted model, not a curated record. NCBI's taxonomy places the organism in Eukaryota, Metazoa, Chordata, Lepidosauria, Squamata, Elapidae.
AUAAGGAUUAUCACUAGUCCACUGCCUUUGCUGAAUCUUCAUCGUACAGUGCAUUCUUUUGGAACAUCCGAAAUUCAGGUGGUGAUUUUCCAACCCUCCAUUCCCCAACAGGAAGAUGUAGCAAUGAAGAAUACUUUGCUCUCUCUACGCUACUUUCUGCUAUCCUUCAUUUGAAAGGUUUGGGAGGAGCAUGGUAGCAGUUCGAAUGUGACUGCAAUUGCCAGGCAUUUCACCCCUAAUGAAAAUUGUGCAAGCAAUUUUGAUAAGUUACAAAUUGCCUCUUCUAUCUCAAUCUCAAGGCAUGCCAAGCCAACACCCACAGAACAGACUCUGAGGUCAUCUCCUCAUUUAUGUCCAGCUAAUCUUCCGAGAAAAGAGGACUGUCAAGCAGGAUGGGGACAGACCAAACCUGAGCUGUGCAAAGAAAAAAAUUAAGAUGGUUCUCCUCCAGUCAAUGCUGCCUUGUGUUUCCCUUGAUACGGGUCUGGAUAAUUUAUGAUCACAUGAGCUGGAUAAACCUCCAGUUCUUGCCUGCCUGGGCUUCAGCCUGUUAGCUGGGAAAGACCACACACAAGCCAGAGCUGACUCUUGGCUACUAAGUGGACACGUAAUCCAUGCUGUUUUCUUGGCAGCAAAAUGGGAAUAGUGUGUCACAACCUUCUCCCAAGAUGUUUUUUUUUUUUCACAACUACCAACACUAACCUAAAACUUGGAUUCCUUGAUAUCCUCUCAGCUCCACUUGGCUUUCAAAACCAGACAAAGUGUUGAAAGCAUGAUUUUAUACAAUUAACCAGAAGUAAGACCAAUUUAGGGGUACUCACUUCUGUGAAUGAGUAUUAGAAUGUGUUAUGAAAUAGUCCAGCUACAUGCACCUUUUCUUGUAAGUUUCACUAUUUGAAUGGGUUUUAUUCAUAGGGAGCUGGGAAAGUAGACUGAUUUAUUUUCAUUUUUAUGGUACAUUAGAACAAAUGGAAUUAUUAAAAAUAAGAGGGAAAAAAAGUUGUUCCAGGCUGCAAUCCUCCUGAGAAGAAAUUCAUUCCUGAGCAACUCAUUCCUCAAGAUUAACACUGGGUGGAGCAGGCCUCUUUUGAGACAUUAACCUGAAUCAGAGUGACCAGAUAAUAUUGAUUUUGAGGGCGGCCAUGUUUAAUUUUCAAGGGGUUGUGAAAUGGACACGCUGACCAACAUGUUAUUGCAUACCUGAAUCUGUUGUGGAAGUUUCAAAGAUAUUGUCCUGGAAGAUUUACAUUGCUUGCAUUAAUAACUUCCUGUCCUACUUGUAGUGUUAAUUAACUGAGCAAAUCAAGGAUGAUUAUCUUAUCUCACCAAUUACUGCUGCUUUAAGUGAAUGGUCACCAACGUUGUGCUUCAAUUGGAUUCACAGGCUGGGCAUACUUUAUUUCAAAAAAAUGUUUAUGGCUACUAAGCCUCCUCAUUCCAUAUUUGCAAAUAUACCUCAUCCCGUAGUCCAAAACGACAUCGGGCCAACAAUCUGAGCCUCACCAAUGAAGUUAUUAAAUGUCAGUGCUGACUUCCUAAAGACCUUGGCUACCAGAAAUUAAACAUACAUAUAUAAUGGUUGUAGUUGUUAUUAUUUUUAAUUUUUAUCUAAAAUAUUUGAAAAGAGAUUUAUUCUAGUUAAGGGGACUUUUCAGAGCUUUCCAUCUCUUCGGAAAGCAUUUUUGGAAUGCAUUUAGGGUUUCUUCCUGGCCUUCUCUGAAGCUCGAUAUUAUUCUAUGAAUCUUAGAUUCUGAUUUACUUAUAAGAUUGCCUGCAUGCCAUCUGUACAUUGUGUGACAUAAUUGGACUUCUGUUGAACUGUUUUGUAGUGAUUAAAAAGGGAGAUGGGAACUGCUUGUGAGGAGCACAUGCUCAGAAUAAAUUAAUAUUCUGACUUUU